AUAACACUCUAUUCUUGUCCUUUGCUUUUGUCUCUGUCUUUCUUUGAACAUUCGUCUUAAUCUAAAAUUUGUUGUGAGGCCCCCAAAAUAGGUAUACAACACCCAUUCUGAGUUUCCAAAUACAUAGUACAGAAAGCAAACUACAACUUCAAUAAUACAAAUUGUCGUGCAAAAUACGACAACACAUACUCUGAGUUUAAAUACAAAUAUUGUCUUCUAGACAAUAUCCACACUCAAAUAAGUCCUCAUUACAAUUAUUCAUACACUGUUUUACAGAAAUAGUGAGGACUGCUAAAAUAUCUUUCUAGAACCAUCACUCCAUACCUCGACUAGAUCCUGCUAUGUUCUCACCUCCUGAGAAGAAAAAUGGAACAAAAAGGAAAAGGGUGAGCUCAACUAGCCCAGUAAAGAAUAUUAUGACUAAGAUAAUAUACAACAAAUUAUCAUUAGUCUUCAACAGAAAAAUCCAUCAUCAAUAUUUUAUCCCUGUAACAACAAUUAAUUUACAUCUUUAAUCAAAUAAUCAUCUUUGCACUACUGGCCAAAGAUAUUUAUUUGUAUCACCAGUCGGUCAUGUCCAUCUCAAUACUUGUUCAUCUUUGCACUACAGGCCAAAGAUAUUCAUCAGUUAAUCAUUCAUCUUUGCACUACAGGCCAAAGAUAUUCAGUAAUAUCAUCAUUUAAGACUGAGGAUGAUGAAAAAUAUUUUAAAGAAAAUGAAUCCAGUGAGAUAGAAUGACAAAUAUUAGGGAUUCGUAUUACAGUUUAUCUAAGAUCAAUAAUACUUCAUAAUAACCACUUGUGAAGUAGAAUUCAAAAAUAAAGAUCAAAACAUAGAUACAAUCAAAGAUAGUAACCAUAAUAGACAUCUUGGAUGAAAAGGAAAAAUUUUAUUUUUUAGUGAAUAGUGCCGUAUUCAUGAAUAGUGCCGUAUACGUAAGUAGUACCGUAUACGUCAAUAGUAACAUCGACACAAAAAGGUAGAAAUUCCACAAUAAAAUCUAUACCAAUAUUUCGAUAUAAUGAUAUUGAAAGAAUAACAUCAUUACGGAAAAAAAAUAACAUCCCUUACCUCAAAGAAACAAUACUUAGGAAUGUAAUUUCGGAUAUGAUGCUGAAGGAAACUUGCACUGAAUAGCAACUCUCAAAGUAUCUAAAUACUCACAAAAUACGCUCGAUAAUAUAGAGAGAAAGAAAACUUAUUUCUGGUGUGAUUUUUAAUUCUAACUUAGGCCUCUAUUUAUAGAAAAAUGUUAGCACGCCGAAGCAGACUUGACCUGCUACCUGAUGGCUUUACCUGCUACUAUUGCCACCCACCGCAUUUGAAAUUCAAUUUGAGAACAUUUCUCACCAACCAAAAGUGGGCCCCACCGAUUCUAGAAUUUUCCACCAAAAUGAUAAAUUCAAAAACUUCAACAAUUUCUGAAUCAGUCACCUCUUAAAAUUCAUAACAAAUCAUACGUUCAUUUUUAAAGGUUCAAAAUUUGUGGACAUAUACUCAACUUAUAUAUGUAUAACAUAUCCAAAAAUCACAACGAUCCAACGGUCGGAUUAAAAAUUAUAACUCACGCAAUAUAUCGUAAGAACACUGGUUUGAUCUUUUAAUACCUCCAAUCUGACAAAAUACUGAUAAAACACCUCAACAUUAAUUCCUUCAUUUAUAACCACAUAAAUAAAUCCAUCAUUUAUAUCCACAUCAAAUAAAUAUUUCUUUAUCAUAUAAAUCAAUAAUUAAUUAUUCACAAAUAAUAUUACAGAAUCACAAUUAUGACAACCAGGCCGUUCCCAGGAAAGAGGGGGCUUUCCGAUAAGAAUUUCUCCUUACUGGCGCGCAAUUAGGUGACCAAACCUCUCCUUGACAGAACUUUCUAGACAUUGCCAAUAAUGCUAUCUAAUAAUAUUAUUCAAAUAAUAUGAAUUAUUGAUCUGAUAAUGGGAAAUACUGUGCAGUGAUAAUUAUUGAAACAACAAUAAUAUAAACUAUUAAUGCAGCAAUUAUUGAAUUAAUAAAAUAAAAUAUUGAACAGUAACUACUGUAACAAUUAUUGAGUAGUGCCUUCUUACGUAAAGAUCAAUAAUUCCAAAAAUAUUGUGCAAUACCGUGUGCUACUGUGCAACCACGCGUAUUACUGUAUUUUAACCACCAGGUAUUCCAACAGUGUUAACGGUAACAAUUACACUGUUAUUUAUAAAAACUCAUACUUUGUCAUUUUCUUUCAUCCAACCGUUUUUCGUUAUGGGGCCCACAAAUGGUUGCGCGUCGUACGAAUAUUCCCCGACAAAAAGAAUAUUCCACGACCAAACGAAUAUUCCCCGACAAAAAUGAAUAUUUUACAACCACUUGCUUAUUUUGUAAAAUUUUGACAUUUCACCCAUAACCAAAGCAUUAUAUCAAAUUAACACCUUAUUAAUUUAGAAUAAUGAAUAGAGGAAAAUUCAAUUUUAUUUAUAAUAAGUUGGGGCCUUACAUUUGUUAUUAUGAUAUAGCAAGAGUGAGCAACUACUUUGCUCAACAAGUUUAAAUACAAUAAAGAUAUAUCAUGAUUGAAAGAAAGAAUAAGCUUUCGAAUUUUUAACAAUAUAAUAAUUGUGAAAGAGCAUGGAUCAAAAUUUAAAUAAUUGAAUGAUUGAAUCAAUAGUGUUCGUUGGUCAACAAUGACCAUGAACAAUUUUAACUGAACCUUAUGGUAAUGAAGGUGAUCAACCUUUCAUACCUGAUGAAGAUAUGCAACAUGCACUAAGUGCGAAUCAAUAAUCAAAGAUGUGGAAUAAUUGUCAAUAAUUAAUCCACUAGCAUACUUGAAACAUAAUAACCCGAGUUUGAGUUAAUUAAGAAAAACUUACAUUGUCUGUCGAUUACUGAUACGUAAUCUAACUUAAUCUCUUAUAGAAGACCUAUCAUUAAUAAGAUUGAUCUUUCAAUCAGCAUAUCAUAUCUUAUCUCAGAAUACAACUAUUCUUAAAAUAAAUUAUCUAACACUUAGCCAAAUAGUCAAACAUUAGAUAAAUCCUUAACUUAAUAAUAUUAUCGUCUUUUGAUAAUAUUUUAAAUCACUUUAAUUCAUCAUCUUAAAACUUCUAUAUAAUAUUAUUAAUCACUCAAUAAUAUUUUAUUUAUUUAAUAAUAAUCACUUCAUAAUAUCUUAAUUAUUUCUAAAUAUUAUUAACCAUUUAAUAAUAUUUUAUUCAUUUACAAAUAUUAUUAAUCAUUUAAUUGUAUUCAACUCACUUCUUAAUAUUAUUAAACAUUUAAUAAUAUGUAACUCAUUAUCUAAUAUUAUUAAUCAUUUAAUAAUAUUUUAAUUUAACAUUAAUCUAAUAUUAUUAAUCAUUUAAUAAUAUUUUAAUUUAACUUUAAUAUAAUAUUAUUACUCAUUUAAUAUUAUUUUAAUCUAACAUUAAUCUAAUAUUAUUAAUUAUUUAAUAAUAUUUUAAUCUAACAUUAAUCUAAUAUUAUUAAUCAUUUAAUAACAUUUUAAUUUAUGUUUAAUAUAAUAUUAUUAAUCAUUUAAUAAUAUUUUAAUUUAACUUUUAUAUAAUAUUAUUAAUCGUUUAAUAAUAUUUUAAUCAAAAUAUUAUUAAUUACAUAAUAAUAUAUUAAUAUAAUAUUAUUAAUCUUUUAAUAAAAUUUUAAUCAUUUAUUAAACUUAUAAAUAAUUAAUUUUAAUUGUUUACCCUUUACUAAUUCAUUUAUUUAAUGAUCAUAAAAUGUCAUAAAUAUAACAUCUUAUCAAAAAUGACCAAAAUACCCUCCAAAAAUCUGAUUACAUCAUAUAUAGGGUCUUCAAGUCAUAAAAUCACAUUUUCACUAUUUUUAAUAUCACAUAGCCUAUUUUUCUCAUUUAUUGAUAACUGAAACAUCUCCAAAACUUUUUCUUUUCUGAGAAAUAUCAUUAUAUUGUUCCCUUAUGAAUAUAUAUUUUUUCUGAAAAUUUCCAAUUUCAUUUACUAAUUUUAAAAUGCCCAAAAUAGUCAGAUCUUGUAACAUUUUUAAUAAAUCGAAAUUUUGUCCAAUUUUUUUGAAAUUUAUGAGGUAAACUCAUCUCAUUAAGCAAUGAUCCCGGUAAAACUUUCACAUUUUUUUGGGUUGUACAUUUCAAGUUAUAACAGUUUACUUUAAAAAUCACACUUUCUUGUAAAAGCUAGAUCUCCACUUUUGGAUAGCCAAAAAUUCCCAUCUUUGGACAUGACUUAGUUAACUUGUUAUACUAUCUUACCACAAAAGGCUAGAAUUUUUAGAGCCACCUAAGUGGCUGAAACAGCCUUUUCAAAAACAUGGUCAGGAAACUUUUCUAUUUUCCAGAUUUUUGUUGUUGUUUGGACAGUUUUGGGAAAACGCAUGCCACGACUUGCUCAUUUAAUAUUUUUGAGUGAUACCACUUGGGUUUAAUAGAUAACUCAUGUAUCUAACAUACCUCUUUGAGAUCACAAAAACAAGUUGUAAAUUUCAAAUGUUAAUGCCUCAAAGUGGGCUGAUUUUUAGGGUAUUUAUGGUCAAAAAUCAGUUUUUGUGAAUAUUUGGUUUUCAAACUUUGAUCUACGCAUGAAACAUCAUAAAACAUGUAGAUGUAGUACUUUCAUGCUCAAGAUCAUAAAUUUCAUGGUUCAAAACAACCAAAAGUCAAAUACAUAAACUACUUAAGAUUUUAUACCUUUUGUGUUUUAUCCCUCUUGAUUUCCUCUUUUCCUUUUUUAUUCCAUGGCCACCUCUCUCUUUCUUUGCUCUACCAUGGCUAAACUCCUCUUUCUCCUUUCCUUUUCUUGGUCGGGUGGUUGAGAGAAAAUGAGAGAGAAUGCUUUUAUUUUCUUCUUUUCUUUUUCCAUUUGGUUAAAAUCAUUUAGGAGAGUGUGUAGAUAAGAUAAAAUAAGAGGGGGAUUAGGUGGCACCCUUGUACUGGAAAUCUGGCUGAUAUCUAUAUUAUAGGACCCGUUUUUAAUUUCUCGUUUUGCGUAUUUAAUACCAUCUUUGACUUUCGGACCCGAAAAACCAAAUUUUCGAGUUUAUAGUUGAUUCCUACUAAAUUCGACGCUCCCAACGUCAUGGGUAAAUCUGUUUCUUCAAAUUCAUCUCUGAAUUUCAAGUUUGACUUUUCUCUGGAAAAGUCAACUGUUAACUUUGACCAAAAAAUCAACUCGGACACAUUUUGUGUUUAGAGUCUAUUCUUACUAAUUUCGACGUUCAGGACUCAAAUAUCUCAUCUGCGUCUUCAAAUUCCACUCCUAACUUUGAUUUUGACUUUUUCUCCAUUUUGCUUGUAAACUUGGUUAAAGUAGGUGGCUAAAUGAAAAGAUGACGCACAAGGGUACUUGGUGAACAACUAAAGUAAAAAAAUAAAAUUUAACCCACAUAUUCUUAUAUAAAAGCUAUUUUCAAUUUCUUAUAAGUUGGUCACCCAACUUAAGUCUUCUUUAGUCUUCCCCCUCGUCUGUAAAAGCUUGGAAAUCACCCCUGACAUAUUCUUAGCGUAUUGUUUGAAUAUUCUUUAUUCCUUAAGAUAUUUUCUAAGUUUCAAAUAUUAAGUUUUCAUCCCUAAGAUUUUCCAACUUUAUAAGAAUUCAAGACCGAGGGCAAAAUGGUCUUUAACCAUUACUAGGAAAGGGCAAGAUGGUCUUUAAGUCAUCUCAAGAAAAUUUCCUAGAAAUUUUCUCAUAGGACAUAUUGGUCAUAAUCAAUUUUCUUUAAGGACAAAAUUGUCAUCUAACUAUAAUUAGGAAAUUUCCAAGAGAUUUCCUCUAAGAACGCCAUGAUCAUUACCAAAUUUCUAUUGGAGAAAAAUAGUCACGUCCCUAUUACUAGGAAACUUCAUAGCAAUUUUCUUCCUAGGGCACAAAAGUCAUUAACACUUUUCUUUUGGGAAAUAAAGUCAUUUCCCACAAUUUCCUACAUUUAACUCAAGUAUGGUUAGUUCCUAACCAUAGUUAUUCUACUUACACAUGUCCCAUUAUUAGUUGGACUAAGACUUGGGCUUUCACUUAGUUGUUUGGGCUCUCUAAUUAAAAUAAUUGGGCCAAGUGAAUUUGCAUGGUCCAAUGCCUUAAUUCUAUCUUACCCUAAUUAUUUAAUUAGGGUUUCCAUUCCACUCCUUUGUAAUUUAAAUAAUUACUCAUGUACAUAAAAAUUUAUAAUCCAAUUAAACUUUCUUUUUUUUUAUUUCUCAUUAUAUAAUAUAUAUAUGGGAAAAAUGUAUGUUCACAGCUGUGUAGUAUAGAGUCGGCUAUGAAGAUGAUUUUUUGGGCAAUAGCGACGGUUUCACCCAACCGUUGCCGUAGAUAUUAUGGGCUACGGCGACGGGUGAACCGUCGCCAUAACCCAAAAAACCCGUCGUCGUAGCCCGAUUGUGUAAUACACAGCUGUGUAUAUACAUAUAGCCCAAUAUAUAUAUAUAUAUAUAUAUAUAUAUAUAUAUAUAUAUAUAUAUAUAAUCACAUACAUAUUCCACACAAGUCACAAAGUAUUUAAUACAUGGAUAAAUAAUUAAUGUGACCUAAUAUUCUUGUAUGAUUAAUUUAAUUAAUCAUUUCUCUUGCUAAAAUAUAUAUAGCACAUCAAUAAGUAUAUAUGUACCUAUACAUAUACACAUUCACUUUAUUCUUAUAAUAUCUCUUCAUUUGAAAUUUAUUUCAUUAAUAACUUUUCCUCAUACAUUAUUACAUAAUCUCUUUUACUAUUUAAUUCACAUAAAUUUAAAGCUAUCAUAAUACCGUAUUCUUAAUAUACUUCAAGGGUACAUAUAAAUCCAUUCUAAGGUUUUUGACUUUCGUAAUCCAUAUUUUCUCACUUUUACUCUUUAUCUUUUCAUUUCUUUCAUUCACAUUUAAUUUCUUUACAUUGCUUAAAAAUUUCAAACCAUAUAGGUUUUUCUCAAUUUUUUUUUAUUCCUCUACUUUAAGUCUAGGUUUUAUUCUUUAACCUUUAAUUUAAUUGUUCAAGAUCUUAUAAAUUUUCGGGUUAUCACAUUUUCAGUCAGAAUUCUUCAAUUGCAAUAUUUGUGGGUUCUGCUUUAUUUUAUUUAUGUAUUUUACAUGGUUUCCCAAUAUUAAAAUAAACUAAGCAACAUUUACUUAAUUUACUACUAAUAAAAUAAAAUGAAAUGAACUAAAUAGCAUUUACUUAGUUUUGUAUUACUAAACAAAAUAAAAUAAUAUAAUGACAUACACUAAAUAUAAAUAUUUUAAUAUAUGUUAAGUGUAGACACUCGAAAUUUUCUGCACUCCUAUUACUAACAUUGCAGGAGGGUAGAUUCGUCUUUUGGAGAUAACCCUGAAAGAUAGCUUACAACAAAUCUAGAUACUACCGGAAGUUUUGCUCCAACCCGGAACACAAAUCGGGAGCAUUGGUUCUGAACCCGGAACACACAUCGGGCCCGUCAUUUCCAAUCUCGGAGAUAACCCUGAGAUGUGCAGAUCAAAAGACCGACAACAACACCGGAGAGGACAGUCCUGUCUCGGCGAUAACACCGCGAAGUUCAGUUCCAGUCCCAGAGACAACACUGGGAAUAGCCGUCCCAUCCUUAGUGAUAACCCCAAGAGAUGAUCGUCGCAGUUCUGGCGAUAACUCCGGAAUUGCUUGUUUCAACCACAUGUGAACAGCUUCAAUCCUGGAUGACAGUGACGCACACAAACAAGCAGUCCAAUCUCAGCUGUAACCCUGAGCAACGUUUGCUUUCCGUUUAAACCGGCGAUAACCCCGGUGAGGAGUCACCAACGUCAUCUCACAACGUCAACAAGAUGAUAUAGCAGCAUACCACCAAGUGGUCCAAUCUCAGCUGUAACCCUGAGCAACGUCUACUUUCAACUCAACCCAGCAAUAACUCCGGCAAAGAGUCAAACAUCAUCUUGUUCGUCCAACAAAUGGCACGUCGUCUCAACAUUUCAGACAUACAUACAUCCAACAAUGUCCCGAAUAACCGAAGAAUGACAAUCCCGAGUGACUAUUACAUGUGACAGUACUUUGGAUAGAAUUUGAAGCUUGAAGACCAUGGGUAUAGACCCCUCUUCCUGACUUCGUACAACCACUAAUCCAUGUCAUUACGUAACUCUCGACACCAGCAGUCCGAAGAAGUACAGACACGCUUCGUUUGGAUGUUAGGAUUGAAAUUCUGCAAGUUUGAUUGGACAUUACAGUACGCGAGUGCACGUACUACGAGACGACGGGACCCGCGAAGCCUGGGCCCACCACAACCAGCCGCAGGUAGACCUGCGGUUGCCGUAGGUAGACCCGCGGCCAUCCGUCUAUAAAUAUAGAGGGGGGGUCAGCCAUUUGAGAGGAGGAGAGAGAAAAAGGAGAGGAAGCCCUGUCCAUUUAGCUCUGCAUACACAUCUUUUGAGUGUUUCCUUUUCUUUAAACACUAGUUAGCUCCUAUAUAGCUACUUUUUGUCCGGCGGGAGCUGAGUGUUCAUCCACUUGCAGUCCAAGAAGUCUACUUUGGCAGUCCACUGUAAGCCUUCAUGUGUUCUAUAAAACUUCUUUCUUUCAUUAUUACACACUGUUGCACACAUUGAGAGUCGUGUGAGUGUGUUUGCCCAGACUUAUGUCCGUGGUUUUCAUUUCUGUCUUUAUAUAUAUACUAAUAUAUGUAUAUAUUGCUUAUAUAUGGACUAACAUUAUCGAGUUAUGCCUCGAUUAAGCCUAGACUUCGGUCUAGAGCGUUUAUUUGCUUUCGUAUAUAUAUAUAUAUAUAUAUAUAUAUAUAUAUAUAUAUAUAUAUAUAUAUAUAUAUAUAUAUAUAUAUAUAUAUAUAUAUAUAUAUAUAUAUUACAGCUUAUAUAUAUAUAUAGCUGCUUACUGCUUUCCAUAUCAAUUGUAGUAUCGUGUGAGCCUAGGAAUCAUGUGAUCUUACAAAUUCAGAAUGAUGAAUCUAGAUUCGGUUCCCAUGAUGGACGUUUUUCAGCUGUAAGCAGCUUGUACAUUAUUUUACAGUGUCCGAGUUUCCUUGGAUGGCUGUCAUGCCCGUGAGGAAUUCGGCACUGCUGUAUAUUGUUUUCUCGCAGAUGCUUCGCAUCUCAAAAAUAAAAGCAAACAAGCCGGACACAUAGUAAUAAAAAUAGAAGUAUCAAAGGCCUCAAUUACUAUUGAGCAUGGGGUUUGAAAAACCUUUUUUCUAUAAAACGUCAUUGCUAUAUCCUGUUUAAAACAGAAUUUUUCUAUAAAUUCAAACCUUAUGUAUAUAGGUGCGAACGAGGCAUAACACUACUUUCAAAUAAUUGCACAUUAAUCCACACACACACGCAUUCAUAUAACAGUUUCUUUGAAGAGUGGCGGUCACCGAGGCAACACGGAUAUCGGGGGGUGCCUAACACCUUCCCUCUGAAUAAUCAAGCCCCCGAACCCUCAAUGAAUCUCAGUUUCACCGACCCGUUUAGCAGUGCCAAAUCACUGGGUCAAUGUGCAAACCUUUUCGGUUGCGUUGGUGCAACCAGUUAAAAACACCAACUGGCGACUCUUAAAGUCAAAUCGUCGACAUUAUACACGUCGGACCUUUUUUCACUUGGUUUUUCAAACAAAUCUCACAUUAACAUGAGAACACCAAAAAAUAAGUAACGAAAAGGGAUAGUAAAAAACCCGACGUCGACAGGUGGCGACUCUGCUGGGGACUCCAGUAAGAGGGCUUAAGCCGCUAUUACAAGCUUUUCAUAAUUGUUAUAUGCUUGUGUGUGAUUGUUGCAUUUACAUUUCUGAUAAAUGUGUACGAAUGCAUCUUACUUACUACACUGCAAAAUAUCUGUCUGUGAUAUUAGUGUUUCGCACAUAUUAGUGCUUUGCACAUGUCAUCAUUCUGCAUGAACGGUGAGACACGUUGUAUGUGAAUGUAUGUUGUGUGGUCCCUCCGUUAGGAGGCUAUCCUGUCGGUGUUUGAUUACUGGACUCGUGGGAAGAAUAAUUCCCCGGGGCUUAGGAAAGGCACCACCCAGAUUUCCUCCAGUUGAAAGACCGAAUUAACUUCCCGUUGAGUAGAUUACGAUGAUCUGGGAACCUCCAUUGCCAAAAAGCUGCGAGAGAAACCCUAUGAUAGGUCAACCUCUGAUAAACCAAACGCGGAGGGAAGUCUCUUCAUGCUUUCCAUUUUCAAAUUACAUGUAAAAGCAUUUUCUUGUAAUUUUAUUCCAGGUUCAUCCAUAUGUAAUGGAAAUAUGAAGAUACAUAUGCAUAACAUGUUAUCAAUUAACUAAACCGGUUUUACAGGAUAAAAUUCCUAGAACGGACAUGUUAUGAUAGCAUUCACAUUUUCAUAAAACUAAACUAUGUAAAUCUUUUUGUAGGGAAGCAAUUGGGUCAAUUACCCCAAGUCUAAAAAAGCAUCCAGCCUACAGACAAUCAUGUCUUCCUCUGAACAGCAUAAUCCUGUCUCCCGAGAAGAAUUCGACGGAUUAAGCAGACAAAUUACAAACUUGGGUGUCCUACUAAGAGAGUUGCACCAGUCUACUCAGGGUCCGAAAAUGCCCACACAUACAGAAUCCUCUGCACAAGGAGGAGUCCAGAAUCUGGAAAAAAAAAAUUCGGAUCAUCAGCUAGAUACCAUCCCUAAAGACCCUGAAACCACCCAUCUCAAAGCAGAUCUAGACACCGGUGAUAUCAGGAAGAAGGUUCUUCAAAUGGAGGAAACCAUUCGCACUCUUAAAGGGAUUGGAACACAUGGCAGUGUCUCUUAUACAGACCUUUGUAUAUUUCCUGGUGCGCAUUAACCAGAGAAAUUCAAGACCCCUGAUUUUGAGAAAUACGACGGAUUAGGGGAUCCUUACACGCAUUUAAAGGUGUUUAUUGGAGAGCUCGGGUCUUAUGCUGAAAAUGAAAAGCUCAAAAUGCAGCUGUUUCAGAAGAGUCUGACUGGAAAAGCCCGUUCAUGGUAUACCAGGCUAGACAACUCUAAGAUCCAUAGCUGGGAAGAGUUAGCCCACGCCUUCCUUACCCAAUACAGUUUUUAGUCUCAGAUGGCUCCUGACCGGUACCAGAUUACCAAGGUCAAGAAAUAGUCUAAUGAGUCAUUUAGAGAGUAUGCUCAGAGGUGGAGGCGCCUUGCUGCUCAAGUUAUUCCUGCCAUGACAGAAUCAGAGAUGGUUAUGACCUUCAUAGAUAUACAGAAGCCUCUUUCUAUGAAAGAGUCCUAGCUGGCAUUGGCAAGUCAUUUUCUGAAAUGAUUAAACACGGUGAGAUAGCUGAAAUGGGAUUGAUGUCUGGUAAAAUUCAAGACCUAGCCGCUCUUAAGGCUGUUGCUGAACACAUCCAAUCCGGAUCUUAUAGAAACAACCCCCGGAGGGUCCACAAGAAGAAAGAAGAGGAUGUUUCCUUGGUACUGCAAGGACAAAAAGACAAGUCAAGUGCGCCUAUGCAGAGGAAAAACUACUCCUCUUUUACAGCACAACCUUCAAACCCUCCAUUGCCCAAAAGUGGAGAAGUAAAGCGAUUUCGAACGUUCACACCCUUAGGGGAUUCGCUCGAAAAUAUUCUUGCUCUUCUGACUACUCAGAAGAAAAUUACACAUCUUCUUCCACCAGCCAACCCUAUUGGUAGGGGUUUCAAUGCUAAUCGGAAAUGUGCAUAUCAUGCUGGGGCACCCGGGCAUGAUACUCAAGAUUGUUGGUCCUUGAAGCAUAAGAUUCAAGAUCUGAUCGACAAUGGUGAGAUCGUAGUCACCAAACCAGAUCAACCCCACGUACAAGACAACCCUCUCCCACAACACAAAGAGGAAGAGGUCCACAUGAUCAGUUGGAACACUGGACAUGGCUCCAAUUCUACUGGUGAAUCAUCCCAACCCAUCAAAGACGGUGUUGACAAAUGGGAUUAUGCCAAGUUCCAAUUCACCAUGGAACAAAAGAUGAAGAAUCUUCACAAAAUAGUUGAGCAAUUUGCAGAACUGGUGACACACCAACAUCAAGCCAUACGCCAACUAAUCAGGCAGGAACAUGCCUAUCUCCUUCCAUUUAUUGUGAAUGCUUCGUCAAUACCUUCAGAAAGCGAAGCUACGGAGGAUAAGGUUGCAAAGCGAACAAGUGCUAAAGCCCGUCGGGAUUUUGCUGAUAGAAGAGAAUUCACCUAUCUGGGCCAAUCUAUGGAGGAGAUACUGCAAAUGUUGAUCAAUAAAGAAAGGAUCACAUUCCUUCUCCCUCCAAUCAAUCCCCGUUCAGGGCAGUUUAAUCCUGACGAAAUGUGUCAAUACCAUUCACAUUCCCGCGGACACAGCACUGAAGAAUGCUGGGCACUCCGCCAUCUUAUUCAAAAUCUUAUUGAUAGCGGUGUUCUGCAAGUGGCAGAUGAUUACACUGUGCGAUUUAAGGAUGGGAAUGCACGUCCUACUCAAUGAAAGGGAUCAAUAGCCGUCAUAUCCGAAGAAGGUGACGAGACUAUCAAAGCAUUUCCUAUACAACCAGUUCAACUCAAAGGAGUUUACAAUCCUUUGAAAGUGGCUGCACCAGAGCCCAUUCUCUUGCCUUGCAGAAUACAACAUCCUGUUGUCAGCUUACACAGAGUGCCAUGGAACUAUGGAGAAGCUGAAGGAUCUACGUCUCAUACUACUGAUGUAGUAACAAAAGAGAAUCCACUAUAUCUUCCUCAACGGGUUAUCAAACCUUCUUGCGAAGCAAAGGGGAAAUUGUCCAUGGAGAAGAUUGAAAAAUUCCUCCAUACUAUGGGCCACAAUGAAGCCAAAGUGGUUUUAAGCUUGCAUGAAGCUCCACACCAGAUAUCAAUCCUGGACUUGGUUUUCUCUUCCGAAGAUCAUCGGAAGGUUUUGCUAAAGGUUUUGGAAGAAGCCUAUUUACCAACAUCAGUGGAUGUGGAAAAAUUUCAACAUUUGGUUGAUCACAUUUUCAACAACAAUGUGAUAUCCUUCACUGAUGACGACAUACCUCCCGAAGGGACUGGUCACUGUAAACCACUACACAUUGCUGUGUUGUCUUCUGGGUAUAUGCUCGCAGGAGUAUUGAUAGAUGGAGGCUCAUCUCUAAAUAUUUGUCCUUAUGCCACCCUGAUGAAGAUGAACAUCAAUCCGAAUCGAAUCCAAAGUAGUUAUACCAUCAUCAGAGCUUUUGAUGGAUCUCGGCGAAAUUCUGCGGGAAAGAUUGAGUUUCCAAUUGAGAUUGGUCCCCAUACGUUCAACGUAUCCUUCCACGUCCUCAAAAUCGAUUCAGGAUACAACCUGUUAUUGGGGAGACCAUGGAUACACAUGGCGGGAGUUGUUCCCUCCACCUUACAUCAACAACUCAAAUACAUCAUCAACAACAGUCUAAUCACUGUUAAUGCCGAGCCAGAAGGUCCUAAACCAGGAGCUCUGCCAAUUAUCAGUUUCAAUUCAGAAGUUGAGCCUGCUAGUUUUCACACUCUGGAAAUGAGUAAUACGCAAUACCAUCCUAAUGGAGCACCACUUCCCGUACCCAAGAUUUCUGACGAGGUGAUGUCCGCCACUCAAGAAAUGAUAUCAUUGGGUUACCAACCUGGACAAGGGCUUGGUAAGGAACAGCAAGGUAUCACACACCCUAUACAACUGUCCAGUCAAAUCGGUACAGCCGGGCUCGGCUAUUCUGCCAAUGCUAAUCAUAGGAAUCCUCAUAAGCAUAAGCAGAUUCUUCAACAUGCCGCCGUAAGGAGAUCUUCGCUACCUUUACCACGUGAGUUAAUGCAAUCUCUAGUGAAGGUUCCAGCCCAGACUAUGGCUAUGCUGUUUCCGAGACCAGUACCAAUCAAAGCUAAAGAGGUGUUGACUCUUGAUCCCGAGGCGGAAGAAAAAGAGCGGAAACAUAAACAUGACCUUGCCUUGAUGAUGGCAGGCAUUCGCGUUAUUGUUCACGAUGAACAUACAAUCAGAUACACUCUAGACGAUGAUUUCCCAGAUGUCAUGGUUAUCAUUCAGGAGGAGAAGGACACUGAUAAUCCUUCUAUCACCGCAGUCCUUCAGGACUUUGCCCUUGACAACUGGAGCAGUACUCCAUGCAUUGGUCAACGAGGAUAAAAUGGGCAGAAAAUCCCUCUGCCCUAUAGAUAACUUUUAAUUGCUUGCUUUCCUUUACAGCACUAGCAGUUAUUUUAUCACGUACAUGCUAACACUUUUGUAUGAUCAAACAGUUGCAUAUAUUAAGUGAAAGCAUAUUUUUUGUUUCAGGACUCUGAAUUUAGAUGUGCCUGUACUUGCUGAUAAGGUGCCUUUUCUCCACAAGGACUGUAACUUUGAUGCAAAGUUGGACUCAGACUUGAUGGACAUCCAAGAGGACAUUGAGACACCUCAAGAGAUCAAGGAAUGGGUCACCGACAAACCUAAACCCAAUCUUGAUCAAACCAUUCCUUUCAAUCUUGGAACCUUAGACAACCCUAAGCUAAUCCAAAUUGGUUCAGACCUUACCACAAAUCAACGGAAUGACAUGGUUGCCUUAUUAACCCAAUUCCAGGAUGUGUUUGCAUGGUCUCACGAAGACAUGGUGGGAUUGUCCACUGACAUUGUUCUUCAUCGCCUUCCCAUUAAAGAAGGAUUCAUGCCAGUUAGGCAGAAGCUCAGGCGAUUGAAACCUGAGUGGAGUUUAAAGGUUAAAGAAGAAAUUGUGAAACAGUUUCAAGCUGGCAUUAUCAUGGUGUCUACAUAUCCGGAGUGGAUAUCCAACAUUGUCCCCGUACGUAAACCAGGGGGAAAGGUACGAGUCUGCGUGGAUUACCGGGAUUUGAACAUAGCUUACCUUAAAGAUAGCUUUCCCGUACCGUUUAUCCACAUUCUCAUUGACAAUACAGUUCAAUAUGGCAUGUACUCCUUUGUUGAUUGCUUCGCGGGGUAUCAUCAAAUUAUGGUCGCCGAGGAGGACCGUGAGAAAACUGCUUUCAUCACGCCUUGGGGAACCUUUUUGCUACAGACGGUUGUCAUUUGGCCUCAUCAAUGCCGGGGCAACUUACCAACGAGCUAUGAUGGCUCUUUUUCUUGAUCUAAUGCAUAAAGAGAUAGAGGUCUAUGUGGAUGACAUCAUUGUUAAAUCCCGGAAGGAGGAUGACCACUUAGACCAUCUCAGAAAGUUGUUCAACAGGUUGCGUAAGUACAACUUGAAGUUGAACCCCGCCAAGUGCGCCUUUGGUGUUAAGUCAGGCAAGUUGCUAGGGUUCCUAGUCAGCCGCAAAGGAAUUGAGCUGGAUCCUGCUAAAAUCCAGGUCAUCAAGGAAAUGCCCAUUCCUCAGACAGAAAAGGAAAUACGGGGAUUUUCGGGAAGAAUCAACUUCAUAAGCCGAUUCAUUUCUCAACUCACAGCAACCUGUGAGCCAAUCUUCAAAUUGUUAAGGAAGAACUCCUCCAUGAAAUGGAAUGAUGAGUGCCAGAAAGCCUUCCUCACAAUUAAAGAACAACUGAUUAACGCUCCUGUUUUGGUACCUCCCAGGGAUGGUAUUCCCCUGUUCAUGUACCUGUCCAUAAAUGACAAUGUUAUGGGCUGUAUGCUGGGGCAAAAAGACAAUAGAGGCCAAGAGUGAGCUAUCUAUUACCUUAGCAAAAGAUUCAGCACCAGUGAACGCAAGUACACUCUGAUCGAGAAAACUUGUUGUGCUUUGGCAUGGGCCUCCAUGAGAUUACAACAUUAUCUUCAUGGUCACAUAACCCAUCUCAUAUCCCGCAUGGAUCCUCUUAAGUAUGUGUUCAACAAACCCAUACUGAAUUGUCGGCUGUCCAGAUGGCAGUUGAUCCUCCAGCAAUUUGAUAUUGUAUACGUGACACAAAAGUCUGUCAAAGGUCAAGGCAUUGCGGAUCAACUUGCCGCCGCACCUGCAGGGGAUUAUAAACCUCUAGAAACAUACUUUCCCGACGAAGGGGUAAUGGCAAUUCAACUAACACAUCAGUACGACGUGUCCCUGCUGUGGAGAAUGUAUUUUGAUGGAGCUGUCAAUUCAGAAGGCUCCGGAGCUGGAGCAGUUUUAAUAUCUUGCACAGGGGAGCAGUAUCCCGUCGCCGUCAAAUUAUAGUUUGUCAAUACCAAUAACACAGCUAAAUAUGAAGGCUGCAUUAUGGGACUCAAACUUGCCCGUUCAAUGGGUAUCAGGCGUUUAACUGUCUUUGGGGAUUCUGAACUGGUGAUCAAGAAAUCCACAGGAAUCUAUCAGACCAAAGAAUUUCAUUUACUGCCCUACCAUCGGCAAGUUAUACAGAUGGCUUUGGAGUUCGAAGAAAUCUCCUUUCUACACAUUCCUCGUAACAGGAAUGAUUUUGCAGAUGCUUUAGCAACAUUGGCUUCCUUAGUUUACAUACCUGACAAGGAAAGCAUGCCAAACAUCACGAUUGCUAUGCACAAGACCCCAGUUUAUGGGAAUUACAUUGGAGAAGUAUCGGAUGAGCUACCUCCCGUCCAUAACCCAUGGUAUCAACAUAUCAAGGAGUAUUUACGAGAUGGAUCUACACUCGCCGAGGCGAGCCUAACUGAAAAGAGGCGGAUUCAUCGACUUGCUAUGAAAUUCUAUCUGAGCAGAGAUGCACUCUACAAGAGAGAUGUAGGACUAGGCCUCCUCAGAUGUCUGGACAAAGAUCAAGCUCAAAGACUCAUGGAUGAGAUCCAUGGUGGAGUAUGCGGCCCUCACAUGAGUGGAUCCCUCCUGGUUAAAAAGAUUCUCAGAACGGGACAUUAUUGGCUCACAUUCAAAGUUGACUGUGAUGAUCACGUCAAGAGGUGCUAUCAAUGUCAAAUCCAUGGGAAUGUUAUCCACGCCCCUCCAAGGGAACUCCACAAUAUUAGUUCGCCAUGGCCUUUCUCAAUGUAGGGAAUGGACGUGAUCGGGCCCAUUGAGCCCAAAUCCAGUAAUGGACAUCGGUUCAUAUUUACCAUGAUCGACUACUUCACCAAAUGGGUCGAAGCAGCCUCCUUCCCCAAGGUCACUAAAGAAGUCAUCAUUUGUAAGACCCCAAUUAAUUGAUAAAUGAAAUUUAUUUUCCUCUAUUUAUUAUUUUUUUAGUAAGGGUUGAUUUGAUUAAUGUGGUUAGUUAUGGGUAAAAUGCGCAAAUAUUUUAAAUAAGUAGGUGGUUAUAAAAUAUUUAUUUUUGUCGGAGAAUAUUCGUUUGGUCGUGGAAUAUUCUUACUGUCGGGGAAUAUUCGUACGACGGCGCAGCCUUGUGUGGGCCCCAUAACAAAAAGCGAUUGGAUGAAAAAAAUGACAAAUAUAAGUUGUUUAAAAAUAACGGCGUAGUUGUUACCGUUAACACUGUUGGAAUACCCGGUGGUUAAAACACAGUAAUACGCGUUGUUGCACAGUAGCACACGGUAUUGCACCAAUUAUUGAAGGCACUACUCAAUAAUGGUUACAGUAAUUACUGUUCAGUAUUUUAUUUUAUUGAUUCAAUAAUUGCUGCGUUGAUAUUUUAUAUUGCUGUUGUUUCAAUAAUUGUCAUUACACAGUAUUUUUCAUUAUCGAAGCAAUAAUUCAUAUUAUCUGAAUAAUAUUAUUAGAUAACAUUAUUGGCAAUGUCUAGAAAGUUCUGUCUAAGGAGAGGUUUGGUCACCUAAUUGCGCGCCAGUAAGGAGAAAUUCUUAUUGGAAAGCCCCCUCUUUCCUGGGAACUGCCUGGUUGUCAAUAUUGUGAUUCUGUAAUAUUAUUUGUGAAUAAUUAAUUAUUGAUUCAUAUGAUGAGGAAAAUAUUGAUUUUAUGUGGAUAUAGAUGGAGAAAAUUUUUAAUGUGACAAUUGUUGAAAAUUGAAAUUUUAUCUUUUUCUGAUAAAAUAAUUCAUUUAAAUAUAUAUUUUUAUAUUUUAAUAAUAUAAUAAUGGUGAUAUUUUUACAACGAAUGUGGGAUAUAUGAGUAUACGAGGAGGAAGAGUAUUUUUGUUGCAAUAAAUGUUUAAAACAUGUUAAACAUGUCGGUGGACCCCAUUUAUUGACUGAAAUUUGAUUAUAGCCUCUAAAAUCGCCCGUUUGUGGAUUUCGGUCAAUUUCUGUUUGGAAUUUGGAAAAACUUUCUUCUGCAAAGUUGUAGAGAAUUGAAUUUCCUAUAAAAACUCGCGAGAUUCGAAUUUUCUGAUAAAAGGGCUAUUUAUUAUGAAUUAUUGAAGUUCCGAAGCUCCGAAAUAAUUGAUUUUUGGAAGUUUAAAAUAUUUUAAAUUAGAAAAACGUUUUUUUUAUUUUUUUCUAGAAGGUUGGCAUGUGUGAAUUGCUGAGAUUAAGAUUUCAAGGAAUACGUAUAAUAUUUUUAUAUAUAUUAAUAUUAUAUUAAAUUUUCUGCUUUGGUGUUCUAAGCAAUUUCCUAUAAAUAGGUGCUUAGGUUAGAAUUGAAAAUCACACCAGAAACUGAAGUUUUCUCUCUCUAUAUUAUCGAGCGUAUUCUUGUGAGUAUUUUGAGUAUACUUUGAGUAUUGCUAUACGGUGAAAGUUCAAGUUAUAGCCUAUAUCCAGUAUUCCAGUUAGAAGUACUGUCUUUCCGAGGUAAGGGAUAUUAUUUUUUUUCGUAAUGAUAUUAUUUCUUCAAUAUCAUUAUGCUGAAAUAUUGAUCUGAAGUUUUUAUCAAAUUUGGAACUUUUGGUGUCGGAGUUACUAUUCACGUAUACGGCACUAUUCACGUAUACGGUACUAUUCACGAAUACGGCACUAUUCAUCGAAAAAUGAAAAUUUUUCUUUUCGUCCAAAAUAUCUAUUGUGGAUACUAGCUUUGAUUGUAUCCAUGUUUUGAUCAUUCUUGAAUUUUACUCCACUAAGAUUAUUUUUGAGAUUUUUGGAUAUGGAUAAAACAAAGUACGAAUCCUUAAUACUUGUUCUUUUGUUGCACUGGAUUUGUUUUCUUUAAAAUAUUUUUCAUCAUCCUCAGUCCUAAAUGAUGAUAUUACUGAAUAUCUUUGGCCUGUAGUGCAAAGAUGAAUGAUUUCUUGAUGAAUAUCUUUGGGCCGUAGUGCAAAGAUGAACAGGUGUUUAGAUGAACAUGACCGACUGAUGAAUAUCUUUGGCCUGUAGUGCAAAGAUGAAUAUUUGAUUUGAGAUGAAUAUUGAUUGAUGUUACAGGGAUAAAAUAUUGAUGAUAGACUGUUAAAUUCAUAGAUUAUAAUAGAUUUCAUUCUCUACGUAACUUUUCUAUGAAUUAUUAUUUCUGCUGCGAAUAUUAAUCUAAAACUUGUUGUUUAAUGUAUUCUCUCAGAUUUUUCCCUGUUGAAGAAUAACGAUAAUUUGUUGUAUAUUAUCUUAGUCAUAAUAUUUUUUACUGGGCUAGUGGAGCUCACCCUUUUCCUUUUUGUUCCAUUUUUCUUCUCAGGAGGCGAGAAUGUAGUGAGUACUAGUCGGGGUAUGGAAUGAAGGUUCUAGAGAGAGUUGUUUAGUAGUCCUCACCAUUUUUGUAAAAUAAUGUAUCAAUAAAUGUGAUGAGGAUUUAUUUGGGUAUAGAUAUUGUCUAGAAGAUAAUAUUUGUAUUCAAACUCACAGUUUUACUGUUGUAAUAAUAAAGUUGUAGUUAUUUAUGUACCAUAUAUUGACAACUCAGAAUGGGUGAUGUAUACCUAUUUUGGGGGCGUCACAGUUGGUAUCAGAGCUUAGGGAUAUGAUAUCUGACAGAGGUCGAGGAAUAGAACUAGGAGGGGAGAGACGAGUAAAUCCUUCGCUAGUGUGUCCUACCUAAGCUUAUUUGUUAGUUGGUCAGUAUAUAGGAAUAUUAUGUGAUAUAUUGAUUUCCUUAAUUAACCCUUGUUUUAUGACAAUAUUUGAGAAUGUUGACUGAGAAUAUUAAUAGUGGAGUAAAUGAGACCAUGGAGACGCCGGUACUCACCAACGAGGAGAACGUGCAACAGGCUGGCAAUGUUCCUCCUGUGAACAACACCACUGAGCAGAUGAUGAACGAGGGGAUAUUUAGAAGCUUUUUGCAGUUCAUGCAAAAUCAGACGAGGGAGACUCGUGUUCAAAACAUAGGAGGAAAUGAUAGCAAUUCACGGGUUGUCACAGCCAAGCAGUUCAAAGAGUUGGGACCACCAGAAUUUAAGGGAAAGCCAGAUCCGAUCAUGGCAGAAACAUGGGUCAAGCAAAUUACCAAGAUAUUCGAUGUCUUGGGAUGCACAGAGGAACAGAAGGUUCCAUUCGCCACCUUUAUGUUCCGUGGCGAGGCAGACUACUGGUGGGAGUCUGUGAAGCGUACCCAUCCAGCCGCACUCAGCAUGUCUUGGGAGACGUUUCAGAAACUAUUUAAUGACAAAUACUUUCCUGAAAGUGUUCGUCAUAUGAAGGAAGUGGAGUUUAUUAGACUGGAGCAGAACAACAUGACGGUGUCUCAGUACGAGGCGAAGUUUGCAGAGUUAUCCAGGUUUGCACCUCAUUUGGUGGAGAAUGAGGAACGUAUGACGCGGAUGUUUCUGAGAGGUUUGAAACCCGGCAUACGUCAGUAUCUCAUCUCUCAUAAAUUUUCUCUCUAUUCAGAUGUUGUUAACAGGGCUCAAUUGUUAGAGCGAGAUAACGAGUACGGUCAACCGAGGUACCACAAUCAGGAUCAUACCGGAGAUAGCAGUCAACAAAACAACAAUAACCAGUGGAGAAAGAAAAAGACGGACAAAAAUGGUAACCACUCUGGUGGUAAUCAUGGCCAUGAAAAUAGAAGAAGCGAGUCAGGAGGAGAUUUUAAAAAGAGGAGAUUUAACAAAGACCAUGUGAAGACGACAGUGCCGGUAGCAACUGGUUCUAAGGGAGGAGAACGACCACUGGUCAUAUGCUAUAAAUGAGGGAAAGAGGGACAUAUCAGUCCAAACUACCCACAACAGUUCAAGGUAUGCUAUAAUUAUGGAAAGGAGGGACAUAUCGCUCGAGAUUGUACGGUAGCAAAACCUAGUUCAGCGGGGACGGUGACUCAAAAGACUGUCCCAGAAAAGUCAAAGUCAACGGUUCCUGGAAGAGCGUUUGUUGUGACUGGUCAAAAUGCGAGGAACCCAAACGAGGUGAUCACGGGUAAGCUAUUUAUAAAUUCUUGUGAAGUUUAUACUUUACUAGAUACCGGUGCUACCCAUUCAUUUAUCUCUCCUGCUUGUGCUCAACGUUUAAACUUGACUCCGGAGAAAUUAGACUUUGACCUAUCUGUGGAAACUCCGUUAGGAGAAACUUUCAUCACAUCCACUGUUUAUAAAUCUUGUCUAAUCCAUGUUGGCACCCUUAUCUUACCUGUUGACCUUAUCUCUUUAAAGAUACUUGCUUUUGAUGUGAUUUUAGGGAUUGAUUGGUUAACUACUCAUCAUGCCAAAAUUGAUUGUUUUCGUAAGGUUGUUAGCUUUCAUAUUCCUAAACAACCUGUUGUUCGAAUUCAAGCAACUAAACCAUUAAAAUCAAUCACUGUCAUAUCUAAUCAUAAAGCUAUUCGUUUAUUAAAAAACGGAUGUCAAGCUUUCUUAGCCCAUGUUAUGGAUUUGAAUAAAGACACGUCAAAAUUGAAUAAUAUUCCUGUUGUUAUUAACUUUCCUGACGUAUUUCCUGAAGAACUUCCCGGUCUACCCCCAGAACGUGAAGUUGAAUUCUUUAUUGACCUUGAACCUGGUACAAAGCCCAUUUCUAAAACCCCAUAUCGAAUGGCUCCUAUUGAACUUCAGGAGUUAAAGGUCCAACUACAGGAGUUGUUGGACAUUGGUUUCAUUCGUCCUAGUACAUCUCCUUGGGGUGCUCCUGUUUUAUUUGUAAAGAAGAAAGACGGGAGUAUGCGACUUUGUAUUGACUAUCGGGAAUUGAACCAUGUCACUAUCAAGAAUAGGUAUCCUCUACCUCGUAUUGAUGACUUGUUUGACCAGUUGCAAGGAGCACAAUUCUUUUCAAAAAUCGAUCUUCGUUCUGGAUAUCAUCAGCUGAAGAUUAGAACUGAGGAUAUUCCAAAGACUGCCUUUAGAACUCGGUACGGGCAUUAUGAAUUCUUAGUUAUGUCUUUCGGAUUGACUAAUGCUCCUGCGGCUUUCAUGGAUAUGAUGAACCGAGUAUUCAAAGAGUAUUUGGAUCAGUUCGUUGUUGUCUUUAUUGAUGACAUCCUCAUAUAUUCCAAAAGCCGUGAAGAUCAUGAGCACCAUUUGAAGCUGGUACUCCAAAGGCUUCGUGAAAACAAGCUUUAUGCCAAGUUAAAGAAAUGCGAGUUCUGGCUUGAGGAAGUAGCAUUUCUUGGGCAUGUGGUGUCAAAACAUGGAGUAUCUGUUGACCCGGCGAAGAUUGAAGCAAUACAAAGUUGGGAGCAACCGAAGUCGGUGACUGAAGUACGUAGCUUUUUGGGCUUAGCUGGUUAUUAUCGGAGAUUCGUGGAAGGGUUUUCUCGAAUCGCUACUCCGUUAACUCAUCUAACUCGGAAGGAUACAAAAUUCGUUUGGAGCGAAGAAUGCGAGAAGAGUUUCCAAGAGCUUAAGAGGAGACUUAUUUCGGCACCUGUUCUAACAAUACCAUCUGGUUCGGAUGGAUUUGUUAUCUACAGCGAUGCUUCGGGCAAAGGGUUAGGAUGUGUUCUCAUGCAACGUGGGAAAGUCAUAGCCUAUGCCUCGCGACAACUUAAAGAAUAUGAGAGGAAUUAUCCUACUCAUGAUCUAGAGUUGGCAGCAGUCGUUUUCGCGCUAAAGAUCUGGAGGCACUAUCUAUAUGGGGAGAAAGUGGAGAUAUAUUCAGACCAUAAAAGCCUUAAAUAUUUCUUCACUCAAAAAGAACUUAACAUGCGGCAGCGACGUUGGCUCGAGCUAUUGAAAGACUACGACCACACUAUUCAAUACCAUCCUGGAAAAGCGAACGUGGUAGCUGACGCGUUGAGUAGAAGAUCAUAUGCAGGAACGAGUGCGAUGAUGUCAAGUAUACGCAUAGAGCCAACUUUAAUAGAAAAAGUUAAGGUUGCUCAAGCCACCGACCCGGAGCUGAUGCGUAUGAAGAAGAAAGUACAAGAAGGUGCUAUUCCGGAAGCGAGAAUUGAUGAAGAAGGAAUACUUCGAGUCCACUCCAGACUUUGUGUUCCUAACGAUUCUGAUUUGAAGUACAAGAUCAUGAUGGAGGCACACAAUACACCAUUUGCAAUCCAUCCUGGAAGUACCAAAAUGUAUCGUGAUCUUCGACAUACAUUUUGGUGGAACAAUAUGAAGAGAGAGAUUGCAAAGUUUAUCUCGAGGUGUUUAACUUGUCAACGUGUAAAGGCGGAGCAUCAAGUACCUAAGGGUCCAUUGCAACCACUUGAGAUUCCGAAAUGGAAGUGGGAACACAUUACCAUGGAUUUCGUUACAGGUCUUCCUACGGUUUCUCAAGGCAUCGAUGCUAUUUGGGUUAUUGUUGAUAGAUUAACCAAGUCUGCUCAUUUCUUGCCGAUACGGGAGACUUAUUCCUUUGAACGUCUUACUAUUAUAUACGUGAAUGAGAUUGUGAGGUUGCAUGGCAUGCCUGUAUCCAUAGUUUCGGAUCGUGACCCAAGAUUCACUUCAAGAUUUUGGGUUAGCUUGCAAAAAGCUAUGGGCACAGAUUUGCGAUUUAGUUCGGCAUACCAUCCUCAAACGGACGGACAAUCAGAGAGGACUAUUCAAACUCUUGAAGAUCUAUUAAGACUCUGUGUCCUAGACUUCAAAGGGAGUUGGGAUAAGUAUUUACCAUUGGUGGAAUUCUCUUACAACAACAGUUAUCAGGUAAGCAUUGGUGUGGCCCCAUUUGAAGCAUUAUAUGGACGAAAGUGUCGCUCUCCAAUAUGUUGAGACGAGGUGAGUGAAGCAACAUUGUUGGGACCCAAGUUGGUACGUAUGACUACGGAAAAGAUCCAAAUAAUUCGACAACGUAUACAAACAGCACAAGAUCGACAAAAGAGUUAUGCGGAUCUUCAUCGAAAGGACGUAGAAUUUAGUAUUGGGGAUCAUGUACUGUUGCGUGUUGCCCCAUGGAAGGGAGUUACAAGAUUCGGGAAGAGAGGAAAGCUCAAUCCACGAUUUAUUGGUCCAUUUCAAAUUCUUGACCGAGUAGGUAAUGUAGCCUAUAGACUCGCGUUACCUCCGAGUAUGUCUCGUGUUCAUAAUGUGUUUCACAUAUCUGUACUUCGUAAAUAUGUGAAAGACCCGAACCACGUUAUUGAGUUAGAACCAGACGAGAUAGCUGAAGACUUAACGUAUGAGGAGGUACCUGUCAAGAUCUUGGAGAAAAACGAGCAUGUCUUACGCACGAAGGUCAUACCACAAGUCAAAGUUUUGUGGCGGAACCAUGCUAUAGAGGAAAUGACCUGGGAGUUGGAAACGGAAAUGAAUGCGAGGUAUCCUCACCUUUUCAAAACACCAGGUACGUACGUCAAUUUCGAGGACCAAAUUUCAUAAGGAGGGGAGGUUGUAAGACCCCAAAUAAUUGAUAAAUGAAAUUUAUUUUCCUCUAUUUAUUAUUUUUUUAGUAAGGGUUGAUUUGAUUAAUGUGGUUAGUUAUGGGUAAAAUGCGCAAAUAUUUUAAAUAAGUAGGUGGUUAUAAAAUAUUUAUUUUUGUCGGGGAAUAUUCGUUUGGUCGUGGAAUAUUCUUACUGUCAAGGAAUAUUCGUACGACGGCGCAGCCCUGUGUGGGCCUCAUAACGGAAGAGAUUGGAUGAAGAAAACAACAAAUAUAAGUUGUUUAAAAAUAACGGCGUAGUUGUUACCGUUAACACUGUUGGAAUACCCGGUGGUUAAAACACAAUAAUACGCGUUGUUGCACAGUAGCACACGGUAUUGCACCAAUUAUUGAAGGCACUACUCAAUAAUGGUUACAGUAAUUACUGUUCAGUAUUUUAUUUUAUUGAUUCAAUAAUUGCUGCGUUGAUAUUUUAUAUUGCUGUUGUUUCAAUAAUUGUCAUUACACAGUAUUUUUCAUUAUCGAAGCAAUAAUUCAUAUUAUCUGAAUAAUAUUAUUAGAUAACAUUAUUGGCAAUGUCUAGAAAGUUCUGUCUAAGGAGAGGUUUGGUCACCUAAUUGCGCGCCAGUAAGGAGAAAUUCUUAUUGGAAAGCCCCCUCUUUCCUGGGAACUGCCUGGUUGUCAAUAUUGUGAUUCUGUAAUAUUAUUUGUGAAUAAUUAAUUAUUGAUUCAUAUGAUGAGGAAAAUAUUGAUUUUAUGUGGAUAUAGAUGGAGAAAAUUUUUAAUGUGACAAUUGUUGAAAAUUGAAAUUUUAUCUUUUUCUGAUAAAAUAAUUCAUUUAAAUAUAUUAUUAUAUUUUAAUAAUAUAAUAAUGAUGAUAUUUUUACGAUGAAUGUGGGAUAUAUGAGUAUAUGUGGAGGAGGAGUAUUUUUGUUACCAAAAAUAUUUAACACAUGUUUUAUGUGUCGGUGGACCCCAUUUCUUGACUGAAAUUUGAUUAUAGCCUGUAAAAUCGCCCGUUUGUGGAUUUCGGUCAAUUUCUGUUUGGAAUUUGGAAAAACUUUCUUCUGCAAAGUUGUAGAGAAUUGAAUUUCCUAUAAAAAUUCGCGAGAUUCGAAUUUUCUGAUAAAAGGGCUAUUUAUUAUGAAUUAUUGAAGUUCCGAAGUUCUGAAAUAAUUAAUUUUUGGGAGUUUUAGUUAAUUAUUUUGAGAAAAACGUUUUUUGUACAAUUAGUGGGCUCACAUGUGUUAUCAAUGUGCUGAAUUCAGAUCAUCAAAGGUGGGCUAAGGAAAUUUAUAAUAUAUAUUAAUAUUUUAUUAAAUUUUCUACUUUGGUGUUCUAAGCAUUUUCCUAUAAAUAGGGUGCUUAGGUUAGAAUUGAAAAUCACACCAGAAACUGAAAACUUCUCUCUCUUUCUCUCUCGAUAUAUUGAGCGUAUUCUUGUGAUUCUACUUUUGAGUGUUGCUAUACGGUGCAAGUCAUAGCCUAUAUACGGUGUUUCAACUAGAAGUACUGUCUUUCGAGGUAAGGGAUGUUAUUUUUUCGUAAUGAUGUUAUUCUUUCAAUAUCAUUAUGCCGAAAUAUUGAUCUGAAGUUUUUAUCAAAUUUGGAACUUUUGGUGUCGGGGUUACUAUUCACGUAUACGGCACUAUUCACGUAUACGGCACUAUUCAUGAAUACGACAUUAUUCAUAGAAAAAUUAAAUUUUUGUUUUUGUCCAAAAUAUCUAUUAUGGAUACUAGCUUUGAUUGUAUCCAUGUUUUGAUCAUUCUUGAAUUUUACUCCACUAAGAUUAUUUUUGAGGUAUUUUUGGACAUGGAUAAAACAAAGUACGAAUCCUUAAUACUUGUUCUUUUGUUGCACUGGAUUUAUUUUCUUUAAAAUAUUUUUCAUCAUCCUCAGUCCUAAAUGAUGAUAUUACUGAAUAUCUUUGGCCUGUAGUGCAAAGAUGAAUGAUUUCUUGAUGAAUAUCUUUGGCCCGUAGUGCAAAGAUGAACAGGUGUUUAGAUGAACAUGACCAACUGAUGAAUAUCUUUGGCCUGUAGUGCAAAGAUGAAUAUUUGAUUCCAGAUAUAUAUUGAUUGAUGUUACAGGGAUAAAAGAUAGACGAUGAACUUUUAAAUUCAUACAUAGAAGAUAGUAGUUUGCAUUCUCUACUUAACUCUUCUAAUGAAUUAUUAUUUCCGCUGCGAAUAUUGAUUUAAAACUUGUUGUCUAUUGUAUUCUAUUAGAUUUUUCCCUGUUGAAGACUAACGAUAAUUUGUUGUAUAUUAUCUUAGUCAUAAUAUUCUUUACUGGGCUAGUUGAGCUCACCCUUUUCCUUUUUGUUCCAUUUUUCUUCUCAGGAGGCGAGAAUGUAGCGAGUACGAGUCGGGGUAUGGAAUGAAGGUUCUAGAGAGAGUUGUUUAGUAGUCCUCACCAUUUUUGUAAAAUAAUGUAUCAAUAAAUGUGAUGAGGAUUUAUUUGGGUAUAGAUAUUGUCUAGAAGAUAAUAUUGUAUUCAAACUCGCAGUUUUACUGUUGUAAUAAUAAAGUUGUAGUUAUUUCUGUACCAUGUAUUAACAACUCAGAAUGGGUGAUGUAUACCUAUUUUGGGGGCGUCACAACAUUGCUUUCAUCAGAAACAAUGUUGUUUGUCGAUAUGGGCAACCAGAGGUCAUUGUGUCAGACAAUGCUAAGAACCUCAACAACAAAAUGAUGGAGGAAUUAUGCAAACAAUUCCACAUCAAACACCUUAACUUUGUCAUCUACCGACCAAAAAUGAAUGGUGCUGUUGAAGCUGCUAAUAAAAAUAUCAAGAAGAUCAUGCAGAAAAUGUCCGCCAAUCACAAAGGAUGGCCUGACCUCUUGCCCCUAACUUUAUUAGCCUACAGAACUUCAAUGCGUGCUUCCACUGGGGCAACCCCCUACUCACUAGUCUAUGGGAUGGAAACAGUACUCCCCAUAGAAGUGGAAAUGGAAUCCCUCAGGACAUUGAUGGAUGCUCAGUUGGAUGAAGACCAAUGGGUACAAGACAGGUAUCACCAAUUAUCUCUAAUAGAUGAAAGGCGAACCGCGGCUAUCUUCCAUGGUCAGUUAUAUCAGCAAAGGAUCGCACGAUCCUACAACAGGAAAGUCCGACUAUGGCAAUUCAAACAACAUGACUUGGUUUUGAAGAGGAUCAUUGACAACCAAGAUCAGUCUAAGGGAAAAUUCGCUCCUAACUGGGAAGGCCCAUUUAUUGUCAAGGAAGUAUUGAUAGGAGGUGCUCUCAGAUUACAAGAAGUGGAUGGUGAUGAAUUUUCACAGCUCAUCAAUUCGGACACCGUGAAACGGUACUUUGUCUGAAGUUGCCAUCCAACAAACAUCCUGGUUUUGAUCAUCAAAACACCAGUUAUUCCGGUUUUGAACCCUUUCUUUUACACACUCUUUUCUGCCCCUCAGGGAAACAUACAAUUCAGACCAGCAGCCUGGUUCUUUUCAGCUUCUCCCGAAAAUGAGAAUAAACUUUUCACACACCUGCAGUUUAUCCUAAAGACGGGAUUAAACUUUUCAAACUUUAUAGUUUAUCCUGAGGACGGGAUUAAACUUUCUCCACACUUGUAGUUUAUCCCCAUCAUGGGAUUAAACUUUCUUCUCCCCGCAGUCUAUCUUGCUUAUGGGAUUCAUAUCUAUUCCCCACAGCUUAACAUGUACAUGGGAUCAAGAUCUUCCCCGCGGAUUCACCUGCACAUUGGGACCCCCACUUUUCAGUCAUUCGUCCUGAGGGGCGAACUACGUCGACCUGAUCUCCCUAAUACCCGUGGGUACGUAGGCAACCAUAUUUUAUAUGGCCCGGUCACAACAAUACAGAAAAACAACAAAAACAUUUCUACCCUUUCUUCACAAAAAUAAAAACAACAAAAAUACUUCUAUACCCUUUUGCCUUCAACAUUCAGCGUUGAACCUCCUACACUAGGUUCGAACUACGCAGACUUGAUCUCCUCUUCAAUAGGAGUACGUAGGCAACCACUCAUGGUGCAGUCUGACCCCUACCAGAACAAACAUACUUGUCACACCGUACUGGGAUCAAACUUCAAAUUGCCCCACUUCAUCAGUUUCAGAUCAAAGGGAUGGAAUUAGCCAACCUCUUCUCACAAAUAGAAGAUACGGUGACCAUCUAAGUUGCGAUCGUUCCUCAAAGAGCAAUACCAAACCAUAAGAGGUGGAAUUAACUAGGCUUCUCCUGAAUAGAAGUACUGGCGACCAUCUGUGGAGCGGUCAAUCUCAGAGAGGAAGAAACUAUCAUCCUCUCCACUUUUCUAUACAGAUACCAGUCCCAAGACACCAAAGAUGGUAGGGAUUUUCAGAAAUCAAUGAUUCAUUCUAAGAGAUUUUGUGAUGUCUCAAUGUCCAUCUAUCAAGGAUAAGUUCAGAAUGCAUCAAGAUCAAAGGCCCUGGUGAAACAGGCAAAUAUCAAACAAGUAUCAAGGCAUAACUAAAAGGGAAGUGAAUCAACAUAUAUUUCCCUGCCAUACAUAAUACUGUUUGAUAUAUACAUAUGUGUUGUACAUGACAAAAUGGCUAAGCUAGUCUGUGCAAGAAAAUAUAAAGCUAUCUACGGAUCUGUAUGUAUGCGGACUAUCAGACCCAACAUAGCGUCCCUCUCUGAAGAUGGAUGUAAUGCUGCAAGCUCCUGCCCAAGGGUAUCUACACGAGCUAGCAGAUCAGAAGCCAACUACAUGGUGGCAUAAUGUCCAUCAAUGUAAGUACUCAUAUCGCAAAAGUGGUAGCCAUCUCGGAUCGCACUGAAGUACUAUCUGCAAUGGCCACAUCCCUAGCAGAUAAGGCGACAUCCCGCUCCUCGAUCAUGGCAUCCCUAGCCGAUCUAGCCUCAUCCCUCUCUAACAGAGCGGUAUCUCUCCCAUCAAAAGCUGUCAGCAUCGCGGCCCUAGCCUGAUCUCUCUCAUAGGUCAUCAGAUGUAAGCUCUACUCCAAAUGAUGUGCUGAAUACUAAGUAACAGUCGCGCUCAGGGUAGGAGAAUCUAUCACAGAUGCUGGCAACCCAGCAGUCAACUCAACGGUGGGAGUGACAGCCUCCUCUAUAGGCUCUUUAUCGUCAUCAUCAAUCUCCUGCACUGUGGAUACUGCCGCAGCCAAUGCAGUCUCUGUCUCUAUCCAUGCGGAAUACUCUGCAGAACUACCUGGAUAACUGACAAAAAACUCAGCCAACUCUCGCUGAUCCCAACAGGUAUACAACCUGGAUCUGUCCUCCGCUGAUAACCGGUGUGACGCGAAGCGCUGACUCACUGCCCCCUCAUAUGGAUGAAAGUCCUGAAACUGGUCAAACUGACACAUCACGGCCAGUGGGUGGUAGGUAAUCAUGCCCCUCAAACCAGCCAAAGGGAGAUAAUCCAUGCCCGGAGCAUGAGUAAUGAAGUUGUAGGGUGAGACGAUCCCUGAACACGACAGUAUGUCAAACGGAUCUCCGAUCUCUGCCAAGAAAGCGGACCAAGAUGCAGCAUCUGUACACUCCGCAGGCUGAAAAGAGUAUGACAUGGCUACCUCAUGGGUAAAACAAAAUCCAUGACGUCGAAAAGUGCCAAUCGGUCGCAAGUGUGACAUGAACCACACAUAUAACAUAACUGAACUGCCCGUAAAUGCUCUUGUCAGAUAAGCACAGCAGUAUGUAGCCAACCUCAAGGUCUCUGCAAUGAUCAUUGGUAUAAUGGUAUGACCCUUCCUGAGAGCUCUCACUGCCACGAUGACGCUAAUGUCGAGCUCAUCCAUGUACUACGGCAUGUAAACGUAUGACAAUACACAUAAAAGCAGUACAUCUACUCUGGCUGAACGCCAAUGAUCCUCCGGUGUGGUGAAAUCCCCGGAAUGUCGUGCAUAGCUAUUCUCAGAGCCAAACCUGUCGAUCAGGAAACGCUGGGAUAUCACAUGGCCAGAUGUAAUCUCAUCCUGCACUACUCUGCGCCUCAAACCUGUGAGAGUCAUGAACUGUCUACUCAUAUCUCCCAUCGCCAUGUGCACGCAAGGUCUGUCAAGAGGCAACAUCGUCAACCGUGCAUACUCCUCCAAAGUAGGAGUCAACUCACGGGUCCCAAAACGGAAUACCUGUCUAUCUGGUACCCAAUGCUAGAGCAUACCCUCUACAAAGCCUGGAGGAACCUGAAACAUCAGUAGGGUCAUAGUAUGCUGCAACAAAUCAUCUACGAUCACCAUGUCUGAUGGUGAUAUACUAUCAUACCAUGAUCGAAUACCAACUACCACCGCAGAUGGUGGGGUAUGAUCAAUACGGCUAACUGUUGAAGAAGACAUCUGUGCAGGCCGUGUCAUAAGACCAUCCAGGGGUCAAUGCUGAACAUCUCUAGAUAUACAUACAUAUGCAUAACAAUAACAUGCAUGAUACAAUAAAUGACAAUAUGAUAUAGAGAAUGAAAAACUGUGCAUACAUUCCUAAGUAUAUCAUCAUCUAAUACAUCUCUGUACAGCUAAAAUACAGGGAAAUGGGGCGAAGCUACCCAACAACUAACAGUGGCCUAUCAAAAGAUACAGCGAGAAUGGGGCGAAGACACCCAAUAUCUAACAGAGGCCUAUCAAGAGAUAACGAGAAAUACAUCAGAAAAAGUUAAUAGUGUCAAUGUCCACGUCAUCGAUGCUAUCCACCUGAUGUAACUCCUCCUGAGUCACUGGAUCUCUAUCUACAAGGAUGUCAGGCCUAUACAAGGGAGGAUCUGUGCCGGCAAAACCAAAUGGGUCACCUGAGGGGCCAGCUCCACUGCUGGAAGGAUCAAAAGUAUCUGCCUCUGAAGGAUCUCUGCCCAAAUGCCGAAUGAAAAGAUGUGAUCGGUCCAGCUGCCGAGUCAAUCUCUCGAUCUGUGUCGCAUGAGUCGGAUCUCUGACACAGGCUAGCCAAUCCGUCAUCAUCACGGAUCCUAGAACCAUAUCCCCCAUGAACUGUGUGGCGCGGGUCUGAGCUCCAAUGGUACGAGGGAUCCACCAACGCUGGAAUAUCUCCUGAGAACAGGGGCCCUCUGACAAUGUAAAACCGUCAAUCCCCAUCAAUGGGAUGUCAAUGACGGGUGACUGCGAAAUAGGCUAAUAACGCCUGGCAGGAGGCAAGAUCGGUAUACGUAUCUCUCCUGUGGUGCUCCUAAUCGCACGCUCUCCUAAAUAGAGCUCCGAUCCUCCAUCGGUAAAGAAAGAAAUCCUGCGGGUGGAUAUGAAGUACUCUACUCCAGUCGGGUAGCCAUCCUCAAAACUAACUCCCAGAUGCUCUCCAGAGUAGGGAAUCCACGUGAUGACAUCAGCUGUCAAUAUCUCCAGCUGCAGGCGACAAUGAGUGAAACCCUCAGAAACGGGGACCUCCGUCAGUAUGGAAUGAUGCCAUCUCCGUCCUCGUGGAUAGGUGUCUAAACCUAACACACUCACAGGACGUAAACAAGGGAGCCUCUCGUAAGCCCAAAACUGCCAACACAAAGGCAAAACACCUGCGGUCAGUCAACACUCAUAACCUGUACAUGGGAAAAGACACGAGGAACACUCACCAGCAGAAACGGGUAAAAUCCUAACCACGCCUCGGUCAAGCCCUGCGAUCGCAUGCGCAUUCCCCUGAGGAAGUAGGCAAAGGUAUAGGAGCCCCAAUCAUACUCUUCUACACGGUCCACGUGUCGAGUGGCGCUAAUCAAAGCGAAAGACACCGUAGAAGAGUUGUCUGCUAUGAAGCAGCCCCUAAUGAUCAUCAGGAACAAUCGCCGAAGAAUGCGAUCCCUGACUCUUACAUCAUCGGGUAUGGGCUCACUCAACAGCCCACUCAUAGCAUCUACACUCAAAGGACCUGUCCUAACAGUCCUGCCCUUGAGCGCUUCCGCCGGAACUCCCAACAAGGAUCUGACGGCAGUAGGGGUGAUAACCGCCGUGCAAGGCACCGGCUCCCCUCCAAACUCCAUGCCUGUAAUAAACCGCCAAUCCAUCGGCGUCAUCAGAACCUCACAAUCUAGCAAGUGAAGUGACUGAGUCUGGUGGAACCACCGCUCAGACAAUGCCCUGAGGUAACCCCAGGGACAGCGACGGGGUAGAAUGGAGAAGAAUCUCUCGAAUCCCCAGCCAUGGACGAUCGCUCUAUAGUCAUCAUGCAAGGCCUGAUACAUAGAGUGGAUGCUAAACCAGUUCCCUCGAGGCUGUGUAAAGCCUGGAACCUACAUCAAAUACAGAUCAACAUCAGGCUCCUUGACUCCUUGCCUAUAGGAAAUAAGGAAGAUUAACGAUCUAAUUUCGUACCUCGUUUGCAUGCAGGUAUAAAGAAGGAUGCCUACUCAAGUCACCCAGAAGAUCUGGGUUCGCCACUUGAAUACCUGGCAAUUCCCUGCGAGGAACACGUGCAGCAGGAGCGGGACCCUCGAACGAUACAUCAUCCUCCUCGUCCUCAACAUUCGGCACUUCAACCCGAAUAGGACGCACCACCUCCUCGACCAAACGACGAGGCUGUCUCAUAGAACGGCGUUGAGGCUCUUCAACAGCUCUCCUCCGUACGCCAGAAGUAGUCCUGCGGGAACUACUCGGUUGAUCUGGAUCCAUAAUAUCUGGACAACAAAUCUCCAAAUCACCUCAGAAAGGGUGUGGUAAUUCUAUACCUGGAGUCUUUUUCAAAUUGCAUUUUGUGAUUACAUGCAUACAUGCAUCGUUUUAACAUACAUAUGAUGUAGAGUUAAGAAUGCAUAACUGCUCAAUGCCUACAUUUUGGAAAAUUUUGCCAUAGUUUCCUUUGUAAAAGGGACUCCACAUGCACAUAGGCAUGACUAGGUGGCCAUUUAGUAGCACACCUUUACACAGUCAUGUACAUCCUGUAUGCAUUUCAUCACAUCACAGUAAAAAUCCGUAAGUGUACUCUAAUUACCAGGAUUCUUUACUACUCUACCUUUGUUCAUUUGUCCUCAGGUAGGAUAAGAAAUGACAGUAAAAGGUAUCAAUUUGACUGUCUCAAAAGUUAAAUUUUUUCACAUCAUUAUGUUCAGCAUGGUUUAAUACUAACAUUUGCUAUGUUGAAUAUUUUUUAUCAAGUCAUAUGAGUAAGCAUAUUCACUACUAUGUGUCUAAAUGCAUUUCAUGCGAUAAGUCAUGUUCCAACGGACAGAAAUUGGAAAAAAUACAUACAUGUGUUACCAGGACAGUGUAGAACGCUUGUACGGUGACAGAAUAUGCAGAAAGUUGCCCGAACUCAGCAGGUCUGCAGAAAAGCUCUCAAAUUUCCUUCGCGGCGCAGCUUGAAAAUGACUUAUGAAAGCAACUAGCUGGCUAUACAUAGUCACGGCUGGCCGCAGGUCAACCUGUGGCAUCUGCAGGUCCACCUGCUGCCCUCCUACAUGGGUCCCACACCUCCGGCUAGGUCCAGUUAGAGUUGCAAAGGAGGUUUCACAAGCUGAAAAGGCCAAAUCAGGAGUAAAAACGCUACGCGAUUGAGCGUAACGGCCUGAAAAUCUGGUUUUCUGUCAGUCAGAGUUAAACUCCCGUCGUCUCAAUGGUAUUCACCCGGAUACAGGGUAUACGAUACCAAGAAGCUAAGCUUUCACCAACCAUGCUCGACAAUACCCCACAACGGUCUGAUGCCGUCACUCGCAUGAACAUCCCCGGCGGGGGUUACAACGCAAAGACCACGAGUCAUCUGAAUAUCCCCGGCGGGGGUUCACCACGCAAUACAACCAUUGAUACACACAUCAAUGAAGGUCAAGCAACCUUGACGUCGUGUUAACCAAUGGCAAGUAAACCCAUUGAAGUAACCUUCCUCAACAAGGUCAACGACACAAUGCAACCGUUGAUACACACAUCAGCAGAGAUUAGGCAGCCCUAAUAAACAACUAACUGUUGGCAGUAACUCCGACAGUAUGAGGGAACAUGUUAUACACAUCCUCAAAACAAGCACAGUUUUAUCCCCACAGAUCUCUUGCACAGAAGAGGUACCUCUAUGGAGUAUAAACCAGUGUCUAGGAUUCAAGACUUUGGUGUUAGUCCUAACGUCAGCAUCCUUGAAGACUUGGGUCGCAUGUCCAAGCCAUCACUGAUUGUCAUACCAGCAGGAAUCCUUGACAAUCAUUCAUGCAUUCUGCAUACAUUUGCAUUAUGUUGUUGUACACUGCAUCAUGAUGAUCUUGCUUGUAUUUCAAGUGUCUAGGAUUCUUUAUCCUAUCCAUGCAUUGCGUUGCAUGAACAUGAUAAAGAGGGGCAUCUGUAGACACUCGAAAUUUUCUGCACUCCUAUUACUAACAUUGCAGGAGGAUAGAUUCGUCUUUUGGAGAUAACCCUGAAAGACAGCUUACAACAAAUCUGGAUACUACCCGAAGUUUCGCUCCAACCCGGAACACAAACCGGGAGCGUUGGUUCUGAACCCGGAACACACACCGAACCCGUCAUUUCCAAUCUCGGAGAUAACCCCGAGAUGUGCAGAUCAAAAGACCGGCAACAACACCAGAGAGGACAGUCCUGUCUCGGCGAUAACACCGUGACGUUCAGUUCCAGUCCUAGAGACAACACUGGGAAUAGCCGUCCCAUCCUUGGUGAUAACCCCAAGAGAUGAUCGUCGCAGUUCCGGCGAUAACUCCGGAAUUGCUUGUUUUAACCACAUGUGAACAGCUUCAAUCCCGGAUGACAGUGAGGCACACAAACAAGCAGGCCAAUCUCAGCUGUAACCCUGAGCAACGUCUGCUUUCCGCUUAAACCGGCGAUAACCCCGGUGAGGAGUCACCAACGUCAUCUCACAACGUCAACAAGAUGAUAUAGCAACAUACCACCAAGUAGUCCAAUCUCAGCUGUAACCUUGAGCAACGUCUACUUUCAACUCAACCCGGCAAUAACUCCGGCAAAGAGUCAAACAUCAUCUUAUUCGUCCAACAAAUGGCACGUCGUCUCAACAUUUCAGACAUACAUACAUCCAACAAUGUCCCGAAUAACCGAAGAAUGACAAUCCCGAGUGACUAUUACGUGUGACAGUAAUUUGGAUAGAAUUUGAAGCUUGAAGACCAUGGGUAUAGACCCAUCUUCCUGAAUUCGUACAACCUCUAAUCCAUGUCAUUACGUAACUCUCGACACCAGCGAUCCGAAGAAGUACAGACACGCUUCGUUUGGAUGCUAGGAUUGAAAUUCUGCAUGUUCGAUUGGACAUUACAGUACGCGAGUGCACGUACUACGAGACGACGGGACCCGCGAAGCCCGGGCCCACCACGACCAGCCGCAGGUAGACCUGUGGCUGCCACAGGUAGACCCGCGGCCAUCCGUCUAUAAAUAUAGAGGGGGGGUCAGCCAUUUGAGAGGAGGAGAGAGAAAAAGGAGAGGAAGCCCUGUCCAUUUAGCUCUGCAUACACAUCUUUUGAGUGUUUCCUUUUCUUUAAACACUAGUUAGCUCCUAUAUAGCUACUUUUUGUCCGGCGGGAGCCGAGUGUUCAUCCAUUUGCAGUCCAAAAAGUCUACUUUGGCAGUCCACUGUAAGCCUUCUUGUGUUCUAUAAAACUUCUUUCUUUCAUUAUUACACAUUGUUGCACACAUUGAGAGUCGUGUGGGUGUGUUUGCCCGGACUUAUGUCCGUGGUUUUCAUUUCUGUCUGUAUAUAUAUACUAAUAUAUGUAUAUAUUACUUAUAUAUGGACUAACAUUAUCGAGUUAUGCCUCGAUUGAGCCUAGACUUCGGUCUGGAGUGUUUAUUUGCUUUCGUAUAUAUAUAUAUAUGAAUUGUUGUCAUACUCUGUCUGAUGAGCCUGGAUUUACAUCCGGAGCGUUUAAUUGCUUCAUAUAUAUAUAUAUAUAUAUAUAACUGUUGUCAGACAUAUCUGAUGAGCCUGGAUUUUACAUCCGGUGCAUUUACUCGCUUUUAUAUAUAUAUACAUAUAUAUAAUUGCUGNNNNNNNNNNNNNNNNNNNNNNNNNNNNNNNNNNNNNNNNNNNNNNNNNNNNNNNNNNNNNNNNNNNNNNNNNNNNNNNNNNNNNNNNNNNNNNNNNNNNUAUAUAUAUAUAUAUAUAUAUAUUACAGCUUAUAUAUAUAUCUAACUGCUUACUGCUUUCCAUAUCAAUUGCAGUAUCGUGUGAGCCUAGGAAUCAUGUGAUCUUACAGAUUCAGAAUGAUGAAUCUAGAUUCGGUUCCCACGAUGGACAUUAUUCAGCUGUAAGCAGCUUGUACAUUAUUUUACAGUGUCCGAGUUUCCUUGGAUGGAUGUCAUGCCCGUGAGGAAUUCGGCACUGCUGUAUAUUGUUUUCUCGCAGAUGCUUCGCAUCUCGAAAAUAAAAGCAAACAAGCCGGACACAUAGUAAUAAAAUCGAAGUAUCAAAGGCCUUAAUUACUAUUGAGCAUGGGGUUUGAAAAACCUUUUUUCUAUAAAACGUCAUUGCUAUAUCCUGUUUAAAACUGAAUUUUUCUAUAAAUUCAAACCCUAUGUAUAUAGGUGCGAACGAGGCAUAACACUACUUUCAAAUAAUUGCACAUUGAUCCACACACACACACACACAUUCAUAUAACAGUUUCUUUGAAGAGUGGCGGUCAGCGUGGCAACACGGAUGUCGAGGGGUGCCUAACACCUUCCCUCCGCAUAAUCAAGCCCCCGAACCCUCAAUGAAUCUCGGUUUCACCGACCCGUUUAGCAGUGCCAAAUCACUGGGUCAAUGUGCAAACCUUUUCGAUUGCAUUGGUGCAACCAGUUAAAAACACCAACUGACGACUCUUAAAGUCAAAUCGUCGACAUUAUACAUGUCAGACCUUUUUCACUUGGUUUUUCAAACAAAUCUCACAUUAACAUGAGAACACCAAAAAACAAGUAAUGAAAAGGGACAGUAAAAAAUCCGACGUCGACAUUAAGCUAAUAUUAAAUAACGCCAACCAAUUAACAUAAUUAAGAUAAGAUAAAAUAAAAUAAAAUACAGCAAAAUAAAAUAAAAUAUAAUAAAAUAAAAUAAAAUAAAAUAAUUAAAUUAAGUAAAUAAAAUAAAAUAAAUUACAUAAUAUAAAAUAAGAAUUAAUUUAAUUUGAUUUAAGUAAAUUAAAUUAAAGAAAAUAAUAUAAUUUAAUUUAAUACAAAAUAAAAUAUAAUAAAUAAAUUUAAUUUAAAUAAAUAAAUAAAUAAAUAAUGUGAUAUAUUAUAAAAUAACAUAAAAUAAGUUUAAUUAAUUUAAGUUAAUUAAAUAAUAUAAUAUAAUAUAAUAUAAUACAAAAUAAAAUAAAUUAUAAUAAAAUAAUAUAAUAUAAUAACAUAUAAGUAAUAGUUUUCACUAACACUCAUAUAAUAGCAUAUAUUUACUUAGUUCCAUUACUAUAUAAAAUAAAGUAAAAGUACUAUAAUUUAUCAAAUAAUAGUUCUCAUAAACUAAGUAGCAUUUACAUAGUUCUACUACUACAUAAAUUAAAUUCUAAAUAUUAUAAUAUAUCCAAAGAAUACUUCUGAAAAACUAAGUUCGUAACAUUUAUUAAUUUUCCAUUGGUAAAAUAAACUAAAUAACAUUUGCUUAGUUUGUCGCAAAUAAAAUAAACUACAUAUAUACUUGUGUAUGUAGUAUAGUUUGGAGCUUAGAAACCUGUUUUACAUUCACUCAUUAGGAGUGAAUGCCGAAUAGUCCCCAGUUUGAGACUGUUACUUGAUGUUAUGUCUCUCACUUAGACCCGUGCCAACGGCAUGAGUAUAGUUUUUUAGGAUUUUAUGCUUGCUUUACCUAUAUGUUCUUCGAGUGCAUACUUAGAUUAAAUUAUCUUAGUCUAUUUUGUGUACUUGGAGACCAUGUGGUGCUAUGGAUUUUUUUUAAAACAUAAGAAAUGUGCUCAAGGUGUUGGCACUAGUGAGGAGACACAUCCAAGAAUGGGAGAGAAACCUAACCCCUGUAGAGUAGAGAUACUGGUAUAUAUAAUUCAUGCAUGUACCACAUACAUGAAUAUCCUUAUUCUGAUUGUGUCUUUUGUUAAAUUAAAGAUGAGUUGGAUAUACCGUAGAAUACCAGUUCAUGGGAGGGGAUUAGUUGAUGCAUACCGUGAUGGGUUGUGCAAUUUUUUGAACAAAGCAACAGGAUAUGCUAAUGAUCCGAAGAAAAAGAUGAGAUGUCCGUGUCUCAAGUGUAAAAACCUGAUUUGGAAGAAAGCCGACAAAAUUAAAUUUAACUUUUUUCAUGUAAAAACCUGAUUUCUUAUAUUCUUUUUAAAAACGUUUAUUUUUUUACUCAUGAUAGUCUUUUAUUGCUUUAAUAAACCUUGACAUGAUUUUAGUUCGUGAGUACCUAACACUUUCAGUUUAUAACCCUCUUAAUUGUAUCUUAAUACAUGGGUAUUCCAUACUUUUUAUACAUAACUUAGGUGUUCAAAGUAAAUAAGGUAUUUUACUUAUUGUUUAUGGUUACAUAUUACAUGAACACCCUAUAACUUUCAAGUCCCUUUAUGAACUCAUCUUUGUGAGUUUCUUUAUUGAAAAACAUCGCAUUCCCAAAAAAUACCAAAACAGCCCCUAAUAGAUAGGCAACACCGACAACCACGCCUUAUUUAGCCAAGUCAUCCUAAGCUUGGAUAACCAUCAUUGAUAGUUCUUAUUAUCUUUUUAAAGUAUCCAUCCAAUCAUAUUGGAUUUUAAAUAUUUUCUAUCUCAUAUACUUGUCCAUUUUAAAAACAUUACAAGUAUACCUCUUAUGGAUAAACUAGCAAACAUAAGUGCAUAGCCCAACUAGCUUGCUCAAACAGCCAUCACGGCUAUUCCUAGCUAACUGCUACUGCCGUUGGGCAGCAACCCCCUCUUACCUUGACCUUCGUUUUGACAAUCCUUAUUCCCUACGACUUUGAUCCAUUUGUGUUGAAUUUUGAAUACUAUAUAGGGGGUGUAACCACCCAUUUAAGAAAAUAUAGACUCUCCUUUGCAAGUAAAUUAACAAAUUACAACACGAAGCCAAAAGUAUCUCACCAAAUCUGCCCCUUGCUGCUAUCUGCUACUACCGUUGAGCAGCGGCUCCCUUUUCCUUGACCCCUACUUUGCUAAACUUUUAUUUUCCAUGUUCUUGAUUUGUUUAUGUUGCAUCUUGGAUACUAUAUAGGUGAUACACUCACCUACUAUAGAAAAAUAUUAGUUAUAUCACUGUGAUAAUCCAUUACAGCCUGAUUUAGCAUCCACUUAAAUCUUGUUGCACCCGUGCAACUCUUUUUGGCAGCACUCCUGAUCCAGUCUAAAUUCUAUACAGAAACUAAAGUAGCUUUAAUGGUUGAGAAAUUGAUUUUCCUAUUCUUUAAAGAAAAAUUUCCCCAAUUGAACUAAUGUUGGUGUAACUGUUUAACAAGGUUUCAAACCACCCACUUCCAGAUCUCUAUAUAGAGAGUAUAACAAAAUUUCUAGCUGGGUUCUAAACACAUUCCUUUCACAACCAAUUUUAGUCACAAUUUAGCAAUUAAAGUUCAUAAUUUCUUUAAAAUUUAAGAGAGAGUAUAUUACCCUUUUUGGUUAGAGACUUGGUUGAAUUCUUUACUUCCAUUUCUGAUUUAAGAUUGAAUCAAACCUUCUUAUUGGUGAAAUAUGCUCAUAAAUUUUUUUCAAAUCAAAUUAGAAUCCAUAAUUUCUACUAUCAUUUUUUGAACUUUGGAAAGAUUUUGUGUGAAGCAAUUAUACAUUCUUGAACUACCCUGUAGCCUAGAGACUUGAAAAGAGACGAAUUAAGUUUUUCUAACUUAAAGAAUGGAAAUCUGCCCACCUCUCACAAAUAUAUAGUUUUCCUCUAAAUCAAUGUUGCUUCCCAUUAUUUCCCUCAUGCAUGGUUGCACUAUCUUGGGCAGAACGUCCCCCUAUUUGAUAUAUUCCUUCCACUAUCUUGGGCGUCUCAAUAUUAGUACAUUACUAAGUAAUCUCUCUGUGUUAACAUUUUUCCGUUUGUACUAAUACAUAGCAGCUCGCCAACUUGCUACUCAAAUUUAAUGGAGUAAGAUUAGCCAACAAAAAUUUCCUUUAUUAUAUGUAUAUAUAUAGAGCUAGUCUGGGACAAUAGUGGUAAUGUAAUGCAUAGAGUCUUAUGUUUUAAGAAAUUAAACUCAUUGAAGCAUUUUAUCAAACACUAGGUGUGCAUUAGAUUUAGGGCAGAUUUCAUAGGAGUUUAUAAUUUUAUUAAGCUCUGUUCCCCNNNNNNNNNNNNNNNNNNNNNNNNNNNNNNNNNNNNNNNNNNNNNNNNNNNNNNNNNNNNNNNNNNNNNNNNNNNNNNNNNNNNNNNNNNNNNNNNNNNNUCUUGAACUACUCUGUAGCCUAGAGACUUGAAAAGAGACGAGUUAAGUUUUUCUAACUUAAAGAAUGAAAAUCUGCCCACCUCUCACAAAUAUAUGGUUUUCCUCUAAAUCAAUGUUGCUGCCCAUUAUUUCCCUCAUGCAUGGUUGCACUAACCUGGGUAAAACGUUCCACUAUUUGAUAUAUUCCUUCCACUAUCUUGGGCAUCUCAAUGUUAGUAUAUUACCAAGUAAUCUCUCUGUGUUAACAUUUUUCUGUUUGUACUAAUACAUAGCAGCUCGCCAACUUGCCGCUCAAAUUUAGUGGAGUAAGAUUAGCCAACAAAAAUUUCCUUUAUUAUAUAUAUAUAUAGCUAGUCAGGGACAAUAGUUAUGUUUUAAGAAAUUAAAUUCAUUGAAGCAUUUUAUCAAACACUAGGUGUGCAUUAGAUUUAUGGCAGAUUUCAUAGGAGUUUAUACUUAUAUUAAGCUCUGUUUCCCCCCUUAUUACUGCGCACAACUAGUCUCCUUCUACUCAUUCGUAGCUAUCACAGUCCAAUUACUACUUUAAUCACAGCAGCCCUCAUUGUGAAUAACAUUUAAUUUCUAACUUUGAAUAUAAUAACAUAGUACUAACCUUGUUAUGAUGGUUUGAUGAUCUGAAUUCCACUCUUAUGGUUUUGCUAUACACCCCCUUCUUGCUACCCUACUAGCCGAAACUAAGCCCCAACCUGAAUUACAUCUUGGUUCCUUGCGAAUUUCUUUGUUCUAGCUGAAAUAGUAAAGUAUAAGGUGAAGUUUCUCUGGAAAUUUUGAAGUUUCUAGGAGAGUAAUAGGAAUUAGAGUACAAUGGGGAUAGAGAGUAGAGGAAGAUAACAUGAGAUAGUACUGCAGGCUACAUAGCCUUCCCUUUUACAAUCAACAAUUUGGCUUAUUUUGUAAGGAC
This 41285-nucleotide long non-coding RNA is filed under the name Panax ginseng (ginseng). RNAcentral describes it as "long non-coding RNA (PGIN_LNC006889)". The record is from RNAcentral. Lineage: Eukaryota; Viridiplantae; Streptophyta; Magnoliopsida; Apiales; Araliaceae.